GUCCAUGGGGAGCGGCAUCAGAUGGGGGGCACACACUAGCCACCUCGUGUGCAAGGAUAGGGGAGUCCAGCGACGGCGAGCGUUCUGUGUGGGGGAGGCGCUGGUGUGCGUGCGAAGGUUAGGGGAUAAAAAGAUCAGACGACUGUGGGCUGUUAAAUCAAACGGUAGGGGGUGGACCGGCCGAAAGUUUCGGCCGGCGCACCGGCGCCUAGCACCCGCCUUAGAUCUUUAUGAUAUUAUAUAGAAAAUCACUGAAUUGGUUUUGGCCAUCUCCACACGAUCUCAUCACAAAAGAUGAAGAGUUUCCUUCUUUCUCUCUCCCAGUACAUCUCGCACAAUGGCACAACCCUAAUAGCACGCAAACACCGUGCCACGCUGAUGCCACCUAUGCUUUCCGUUGGCCGUGAACUGAUUAAUACAUAAGCUAGCUUUGGAGGAGGCUGCUAGAUUGAUUCCAAUGGAGGUUAGCUACAACUAUCUCUACGGAUGUUACCUAGCUACAACAGGCCGAUGUAUUCUAGCUGGUUGGAUAACAGACGCGGCGUUGUUUCAUCAAAUCAUCGAUCAGUGGAGCAAAUCUACUGCUGGCCGGUCGACGUAUUCUCGACGGAUGAAGAACGCACAGGAGACCAGGGAAGGCAAGGCGACUAUGUUUUUGAUAAGGACGCGGAUGGCCAUCCGGUCCCAGUGCUUCUCUGAUGCGGUGCUAGAGUCUCCCCAUGCACUGGUCGGAAGCUGCGCCGUCGCCAUAGCAAUCAAUGUCAUCUGUCCAGCAGGAUCUUCGUAGGUGAACUAGGUUGGAGUCAAAUCUAUGGCUGACGGCAGAAUGGUUCAUCGGCUCAUCCACACAGACCUGGGGACGGUCACAUCUAUGGCACCACGCUGGAGAUCCACAUCACGAUGCCAUUGCCCACGCAUGCUGAACUAAUCGGGGAUGGGGCCUGAGAGGAGCAAUGGGCCCUCGCAGGAGCACAACACAACAAGGCCAUUGGGUACAAUCAGGAUUCCGGAGCCUUUGAUCAGAAGAUUAACAUAAUUUUCUUUGUCUUGCUAAGUGCAUCAGGAUCGUAUCAAGAUUCAUCCGAAAUCAGUUACUAGCAAACAGAGAAGCACUACUCUUCUAGGAAAUUAUCUACGCGGGUUCUUUGCCCCUAUGGUCUCACAAGAUUUUUGGUAAAUUUACAGCUAGCCAUGAAAGCAAUUGGUUCCUUGCAUCCUCCAUUUGACAGGUAGAACAUCUUUUGACUGCUCACCCGUACUUCUGUAUAGUAUAGCAUACAAUCUUUAGAUUUGUAUGUCUUUAAUUAAUAGUUCAGUUUUAUUGGUAUAUAGGAUAAUAAAUCGCUGUUAUGAUAUAGUAUAUGUUGCUUCUUACAUGCAAAUCUAAUUUUUUUGCUCCGCUAGAUAGUAAUUGGUCAAUGUAUUGUUCAGUUUGCGUUUUUAUGAAUUUGAUAAAAUUCAGUUGUAAGUUCUAAUUGGUAAGAUGCUAAAGUUUUCCUGCACUUCAUCCCUUUAAACGUAUAUAACAAUUAUAAGGAGGCCUAUAGCCUAUUAUCAGCCACGCGAGUGUCCCUUCCCUGACGUCUAUAUGCAGAUCUACGCUUCAUUGUACAUCCUGUUCUCUUCAACUCAACCCUCCACUGGUGUUUAUCGGGAGGCUGCAAACAUAUGUGAAAAUCGUUUGCUGGAGUAGUUUUUCUCAUAAGGCGCAGGCCGAUCCUGUAGCGUCGGGUCAUUAUGAUGCAUGCAACGAUGUGGUGUCCAAAGGUACGUUGUUGCCCUCCUAAAGAUCCGGUGCACUUGCUCACAAUAUCCAUGACAACGGAGGCUACUCUAUGUUCUCAUGACUAAUACUGCCUGCUUUGUAAUAUUUCGAACAUAUGUUUGUUUACGUGCUUGAUAGUGGAUCUUAAUUAAUCCUGGCCUUAGUUUUGCCAAAAUACUUUUAUCACCUUACAAUAUGCCAUGCUUAUCCUAGCAUCCGUGCCAUUUGUUUAACCCUUCAGCUGAGAAAGAUAGGGCAUAAGUUUUAGUGGUGUAUCUAUAUCCGAUUGUUUACUUGGUACCCAAUUUUUUAGUCAAAUGGUUAAUAAACAGAUAAUUUGUACUCACGCAAUUCGUGGUAAUAUGAGUGUGACCCGUGGAUGUUACAUAUGCACACCUCCACGAGGCUAACUGUUUUAGAUUAAAUUCGGUUAAGUUUUUUUUCCAAUCAUUUUUACUACUUCAACAGAAAAACAAUGAUGUGAUGGUCAACCAAGAUUCCCUGUUUAAGUAGACAACUUACGUUUCAUAUCAGUCCAUGGUUUACCUUUCGCCAUAUUUUACCAUACUGAUCUAAUUUUGUGGAAGUUUCAUUAAUUGAGAACUAACAACUCUAAGCAUAUUAUCUGUACUGUAUUUUUAAUUUCACUUGAGCGAUUUUUAGUGUUAAUUAUUUUUUCCAACCUUAAGUAUCUUAGAUUGAAUUCAUGGUCUUCGGUAAUUUGGUUUAUGUUGGAUCCAAGUGAUAAUGUUUUCAUAUUGUGCAUAGUCAUCUAAUUUUGUGAGAUUUGAAUACUACAAAUAGAUCAAUAUCUUAUGGUCUUUCCUACAGAAGCUUCAUUAUUCUCUAACAAUUAACAACAAAGUAUCUCUAUGUUAUUUUUUCAUUUGUAUUAUAAAAAAAUUAGUAUCAUUCUGAUUUUUUUCCAAUCACACAUUAACUGUCAGUCUUUAGCACUUUUUUUUAUCUAAAAUUCAAGUGACAAUAUCCACUAUUUUUUUUCUUUAGGUCCAGCUGGGCGCAAGUGCCUCUGUGUGUGUGCCAACAUCCUACUUUCGUCUCAUAAAAUUAGUUUAUUUGUUGUGUCACAACAAGAUUUUUUUUUGCUAGAUACAAACCACUGGUAGAACAGAGAAUGCUACUGCUACAAAGCAUGGUAAGGAAGGUGGCCGAGUAGAGGAAUCGGUGGAUGGUUGUGGCCUCGGCGUGUUUAAAACCAUUCAUUUCAUGGAUUUCCCAGUUUUACGCUGAAAAUUCAAGUCUAAUUUAGCUACGUACUGGAGGGAUUUCGGUACACGUAUCCUAAUUUGUAAGUUAUCUUUUGUAGGAAAUGCUCCUACAAUAUAAUAAUAUCAUUUUCAACUAGCACAUUCUCAUAUGAAUUUACACAAAUUGGAAGCUUUAUUACCCUCAGCGUAUGCAUCGUGGAUGCAUACAAACCUAAAUUAUUGUCAUUUUUCUUCUGUCACCCAGUAUAUAUGCGUGCUUUAGGCUUACACCUAUAUUUUUAGGCUAGCACAAAGUAAAUGCUUGGCUAUUAAAAUUAUUUUUUUGGGAUGUUCUACAAUAGAUACAAAUAAACUAAAGUAGUACGAUAUGUCUAUAGAUCCUCUCUUGCAUUCUAUAUAUAGUUCAAUAUGAC
This 3407-nucleotide ribosomal RNA is filed under the name Triticum aestivum (bread wheat). RNAcentral's name for it is "partial small subunit ribosomal RNA". The record is from RNAcentral. Lineage: Eukaryota; Viridiplantae; Streptophyta; Magnoliopsida; Poales; Poaceae.